GAUGAACGCUAGCGGCAGGCCUAAUACAUGCAAGUCGAGGGGCAGCGCGGUAGCAAUACUGGCGGCGACCGGCGCACGGGUGCGUAACACGUAUGCAACCUACCUUCAACUGGAGGAUAGCCCGGGGAAACUCGGAUUAAUACUCCAUAACACAGGGAUCCCGCAUGGGAAUAUUGUUAAAGCUACGGCGGUUGAAGAUGGGCAUGCGUUCGAUUAGCUAGUUGGUGUAGGUAACGGCUCACCAAGGCUACGAUCGAUAGGGGGUCUGAGAGGAUGAUCCCCCACACUGGUACUGAGAUACGGACCAGACUCCUACGGGAGGCAGCAGUAGGGAAUAUUGGUCAAUGGGCGCAAGCCUGAACCAGCCAUGCCGCGUGCAGGAAGAAGGCCCUCUGGGUUGUAAACUGCUUUUGAUAGGGAACAAAUGCCACUUGCGAGUGGAGCUGAGUGUACCUAUAGAAUAAGCACCGGCUAACUCCGUGCCAGCAGCCGC
This 493-nucleotide ribosomal RNA is filed under the name uncultured bacterium. RNAcentral's name for it is "bacterial SSU rRNA". It matches the Rfam family "Bacterial small subunit ribosomal RNA", at positions 28 to 518 of the family's 1533-position model. The record is from RNAcentral.